AACUUUUGGCAACGGAGCUCUUGGCUCUCGCAUCGAUGAAGAACGCAGCGAAAUGCGAUACGUAAUGUGAAUUGCAGAAUUCAGUGAAUCAUCGAAUCUUUGAACGCACAUUGCACUCUCUGGUAUUCCGGAGAGUAUGCUGGUUUGAGUAUCUGUAAACAUCUCAAAUCUCUCUUCGCUUGCGUCGAGAGAAUUGGAUUUGAGCGAUCCCGACUCCUUCGUCAGAAAGAGGAGGGUCGCUUGAAAUGCAGGUACCAGCUGGGCAUUCUUCUCAGCCAAAAGCAUAUCUAUUUAGUCCCGUCAAACGGAUUAUUACUUUUGCUUCAGCUAAUAUAAAGGUCGAAUGAACUACCAACGCUGAUUGCAGGAAAACUUGUCGGUUUAUUCGGACUUGUAAACUCGAUCUCAAAUCAAGUAAGACUACCCGCUGAACUUAAGCAUAUCAAUAAGCGGAGGCU
This 458-nucleotide unclassified non-coding RNA is filed under the name uncultured Mortierella. RNAcentral's name for it is "sequence contains ITS2". The stretch from base 1 to 154 matches the Rfam family "5.8S ribosomal RNA". Lineage: Eukaryota; Fungi; Mortierellomycota; Mortierellomycetes; Mortierellales; Mortierellaceae. The record is from RNAcentral.